RNAcentral lists this ribosomal RNA (409 nucleotides) under uncultured bacterium. RNAcentral's name for it is "bacterial SSU rRNA". It matches the Rfam family "Bacterial small subunit ribosomal RNA", at positions 509 to 916 of the family's 1533-position model. The record is from RNAcentral.
CAGCAGCCGCGGUAAUACGUAGGGUGCGAGCGUUGCCCGGAUUUAUUGGGCGUAAAGGGCGCGUAGGCGGUCACGCACGUCCGUUGUGAAAUCGCUCGGCUCAACUGGGCGGGGUCAGCGGAUACGGCGUGGCUGGAGCAAGCUAGGGGGCAAUGGAAUUCCCGGUGUAGUGGUGGAAUGCGUAGAUAUCGGGAGGAACACCAGUGGCGAAGGCGGUUGCCUGGAGCUUUGCUGACGCUGAUGCGCGAACGCGUGGGGAGCGAUCCGGAUUAGAUACCCGGGUAGUCCACGCCGUAAACGAUGCGGACUAGGUGUCGGGGGUAUCGACCCCCUCGGCGCCGCAGCUAACGCAUUAAGUCCGCCGCCUGGGGACUACGGCCGCAAGGCUAAAACUCAAAGGAAUUGACGG